GCAAGUCGAACGAGAAAUUUCCUGCUUGCAGGGGAGAGUAAAGUGGCGCACGGGUGAGUAACGCGUGGGUAACCUACCCUUGAAACCGGGAUAACUUCGCGAAAGCGAUGCUAAUACCGGAUAUUGUCUCUGGGACUGUGGUUUUGGAGAUGAAAGGUGACCUCUUCAUGAAAGUUGCCGUUUAAGGAUGGGCUCGCGUACCAUUAGCUAGUUGGUGGGGUAAUGGCCCACCAAGGCGACGAUGGUUAGCCGACCUGAGAGGGUGAUC
Molecule: ribosomal RNA, 268 nt
Filed under: uncultured bacterium
Lineage: Bacteria
Description: partial 16S ribosomal RNA
Rfam family: Bacterial small subunit ribosomal RNA
Source: RNAcentral